AUUGAACGCUGGCGGCAUGCCUUACACAUGCAAGUCGAACGGCAGCACGGGAGCAAUCCUGGUGGCGAGUGGCGAACGGGUGAGUAAUAUAUCGGAACGUGCCGGUCGUGGGGAGUAACGUAGCGAAAGCUACGCUAAUACCGCAUACGAUCUACGGAUGAAAGCGGGGGGAGUCGCAAGACCUCGCGCGAUUGGAGCGGCCGAUAUCAGAUUAGGUAGUUGGUGAGGUAAAGGCUCACCAAGCCGACGAUCUGUAGCUGGUCUGAGAGGACGACCAGCCACACUGGGACUGAGACACGGCCCAGACUCCUACGGGAGGCAGCAGUGGGGAAUUUUGGACAAUGGGCGCAAGCCUGAUCCAGCAAUGCCGCGUGCAGGAU
This 380-nucleotide ribosomal RNA is filed under the name uncultured bacterium. RNAcentral's name for it is "bacterial SSU rRNA". It matches the Rfam family "Bacterial small subunit ribosomal RNA", at positions 29 to 409 of the family's 1533-position model. The record is from RNAcentral.